ACAAGAUCAGCACUCUCAGCCUGCAAUGUAUAAAAUAACUCUGGUUAGUAUAUGGAAAGGAUUUUCCAUCCAUAACUUCUUUCCUGCUAAAUAGCCAACAUGCUUAAAUAAGUUCUAUUAGGGGAAAAAGGAAGGAUAUAAAAAGGAGUUGCAAGUUUUAAGUUCCCAUUUGACAGAGUUAGACAAUCUCCAUUCUUACAGAUUCAAGCAAAGAUGAUGUG
This 221-nucleotide unclassified non-coding RNA is filed under the name Hevea brasiliensis (rubber tree). The record is from RNAcentral. Lineage: Eukaryota; Viridiplantae; Streptophyta; Magnoliopsida; Malpighiales; Euphorbiaceae.